GAAAAUCUCAUGACCCCGGUGUUUUCGGACGACGGGCUAUUGGAUAUGGGUGUCUUUGCCGAUGUGCAAGCGCCUUAAACGCAUUGUGCGUGCACCGAUUGGCUGUUCAAUGGGUUUCCAAAGUGCAACAGAAUUAUCUAUUUCACGGAGGACUCGAUGGGCUGCUUCGGAGCAUGUUCUCAAUGUUUUACACAGGGGCUGCCACAGUUGGGGUGGUCUCUGAUA
RNAcentral lists this unclassified non-coding RNA (225 nucleotides) under uncultured Ascomycota. RNAcentral describes it as "sequence contains ITS2". The record is from RNAcentral. Lineage: Eukaryota; Fungi; Ascomycota.